RNAcentral lists this ribosomal RNA (482 nucleotides) under uncultured bacterium. Its description in RNAcentral is "partial 16S ribosomal RNA". It matches the Rfam family "Bacterial small subunit ribosomal RNA", at positions 30 to 505 of the family's 1533-position model. The record is from RNAcentral.
AUUGAACGCUGGCGGCAGGCCUAACACAUGCAAGUCGAGCGGAUGAAGGGAGCUUGCUCCUGGAUUCAGCGGCGGACGGGUGAGUAAUGCCUAGGAAUCUGCCUGGUAGUGGGGGAUAACGUCCGGAAACGGGCGCUAAUACCGCAUACGUCCUGAGGGAGAAAGUGGGGGAUCUUCGGACCUCACGCUAUCAGAUGAGCCUAGGUCGGAUUAGCUAGUUGGUGGGGUAAAGGCCUACCAAGGCGACGAUCCGUAACUGGUCUGAGAGGAUGAUCAGUCACACUGGAACUGAGACACGGUCCAGACUCCUACGGGAGGCAGCAGUGGGGAAUAUUGGACAAGGGGCGAAAGCCUGAUCCAGCCAUGCCGCGUGUGUGAAGAAGGUCUUCGGAUUGUAAAGCACUUUAAGUUGGGAGGAAGGGCAGUAAGUUAAUACCUUGCUGUUGUGACGUUACCAACAGAAUAAGCACCGGCUAACUUCG